GACGAACGCUGGCGGCGUGCUUAACACAUGCAAGUCGAACGGAAAGGCCCCUUUGGGGGUACUCGAGUGGCGAACGGGUGAGUAACACGUGAGUAACCUGCCCUUGACUUCGGGAUAACUUCAGGAAACUGGGGCUAAUACCGGAUAGGAAUCCUUGCUGCAUGGUGGGGGUUGGAAAGCUUCGGCGGUUUUGGAUGGACUCGCGGCUUAUCAGCUUGUUGGUGGGGUAGUGGCUUACCAAGGCUUUGACGGGUAGCCGGCCUGAGAGGGCGACCGGCCACAUUGGGACUGAGAUACGGCCCAGACUCCUACGGGAGGCAGCAGUGGGGAAUAUUGCACAAUGGGCGGAAGCCUGAUGCAGCAACGCCGCGUGCGGGAUGACGGCCUUCGGGUUGUAAACCGCUUUCAGCAGGGGCGAAGCUUAUGGUGACGGUACCUGCAGAAGAAGCACCGGCUAACUACGUG
RNAcentral lists this ribosomal RNA (465 nucleotides) under uncultured bacterium. RNAcentral's name for it is "partial 16S ribosomal RNA". It matches the Rfam family "Bacterial small subunit ribosomal RNA", at positions 28 to 507 of the family's 1533-position model. The record is from RNAcentral.